This is a long non-coding RNA of Halichondria panicea, 1798 nucleotides long. RefSeq lists it as uncharacterized. The transcript is spliced from 4 exons. The record is from RefSeq and is a predicted model, not a curated record. Lineage: Eukaryota; Metazoa; Porifera; Demospongiae; Suberitida; Halichondriidae.
CAAGCCGCGGCCACUAUAAUAAAUAACCGCGGCUAUUCGAAUCAAUCCGCGGAUUAUUCGGGGCUUGCCAUCUAAAGUCGCGGCCAUGAUCCGGAUGAAUGGGGAAAGCCGCGGCCACUGUAAUAAUAGCAGCGGCUAUUCGAAUCAAUCCGGGGCUUGCCAUCUAAGCCGCGGCCAUAAUCAGGAUGACUGGGGGGGGCCAGAGAGGUCGAGUGCUUUUUAUAUAGUCGAAGCAGUUUGCAAGCGCUCCUAGAUCUACACUAGAUCUACACUACAGCAAGGGUUAGGACUGGCAAGGAUCCUGUGGCUCGCACACUUUUCUCCUCGUCUUUAUACAACCUCCCUGAUGAGUUCAGUAUUCAGGAAGAACUGUCAUUUGGAGCGUCUGGACCAACAUGGAGGGAGCUGGCUGAUCAUCUCAGUAAGAUCGGAGAGAGAGGAACAAGUAGCGAAGGAACUCGUGACCAGCUACAAAAUCGGUAUUAUGUGACUGAGGGUGUGAGGAAGGUCAGCUACACACCAUCAGUCAGCUCGUAAUAAAUGUUGUACAUACAACACUGUAUGCUGUUAAGGUCUACACAGGGAAACGGAGAGCUACCGUAGCCGAAGCUGACCUAUCCUUGGUUAAAACAGGAGAUCUCGUUGCUGUUUAUUGUGAAAACUAUACUAAGGAGCCUGUAAUUGGUGAAUGCAUUCGUAUUGAAGAGCGGUACAUUGAAGUUGCAUGGAUGGAGGGAUCGUAUUCAUCUGUUUGGAACCCUGGAAAAUCCGAGAUCCUAAGAACAUGAGGAAAACCGUCACUUGGACUGAUACAAUUCCAAAAACUUCUGUUUUGCUAUUUGCAUCCAUGCUAACAAGCAGAAAUUUUCUCCGCAAAUGCACCAUUGAGCGGUUGAUGAAAAUGUAUGCUAAGUUUUACCGAGUGAAGACCAUCUACAUUAUUUCACGAUAAAGACUGUAGUUUUUUGUGUUCAUAUAUACAUGUAGGAUGGUUACGUUAGAAACAUAACAUGAUAUGUUCUUUAUCUUCACAAUGCAAGUACAAUACAUGUAAAGGGUUGUGAAAUGACAAACUGUGUCAAUUACUACUCAAUAUUUUGGCUAAAGUUACAUUUCACAAAUGGAAGGUUGAACUCAUAAGCUGUUAUUACCUAUAAUAUAUAAUACCUACAUUACUCGUGUGACCUGCAUUACCUGUGUGACCUACAUUACCCGUGUUACCUAUACAUUACCCAUGUACCUACAUUACCCGUGUUACCUGCAUUAUCUAUAAUACCACAUUACCUACAUUACCCAGUGCAUUACAUCAUUACGGUUAUUAGUAGCACCAUAGUAUGAUGGAAUAGCUAUAGUAUGAGUAAUGCAAGGAAUAGCACUAUAGUAUGAUGUGCAAUGUAAUGCAAGGAAUAGUUAUACCACCCAAAAUCAUGCAGUCUUGUGAUUAUUUUGAGAUGUGUAGUCCACAUUGAUGUCGAAAUGGGCCAGAAUACAUGUACCUCAUGCUACCUGUACACUACUCUAUUGCGAAUAAUUAUUCAUAAAUGCUGACUUUCAUAUUUCAUGUUAGUCAUGAGGAUCAACCUAUUUUCAGCACAUGAAAAUGUACAAAGCAUUCUUAUAUACAGUUAAUUUCUUCAGUCAACUUUUCCUAAUUUCUUCUUCUUCAAGGGAGCUGGACAAAACCUGGAGUCGACUCGCCGAGCUUGGCCUUGAUAGCAUCUGUGUGUGUGUAAUCUAUAUGAAUCAUCAGCAAGAAGGUGGGUUGAAGAAUGAAAUAUUGCUUGAAUGUGUGAUUUGA